GCUGGGUGGAUUAGUGGCGAACGGGUGAGUAACACGUGAGUAACCUGCCCCUGACUCUGGGAUAAGCGUUGGAAACGACGUCUAAUACUGGAUAUGAUCACUGGCCGCAUGGUCUGGUGGUGGAAAGAUUUUUUGGUUGGGGAUGGACUCGCGGCCUAUCAGCUUGUUGGUGAGGUAAUGGCUCACCAAGGCGACGACGGGUAGCCGGCCUGAGAGGGUGACCGGCCACACUGGGACUGAGACACGGCCCAGACUCCUACGGGAGGCAGCAGUGGGGAAUAUUGCACAAUGGGCGAAAGCCUGAUGCAGCAACGCCGCGUGAGGGAUGACGGCCUUCGGGUUGUAAACCUCUUUUAGUAGGGAAGAAGCGAAAGUGACGGUACCUGCAGAAAAAGCACCGGCUAACUACGUGCCAGCA
Molecule: ribosomal RNA, 418 nt
Filed under: Curtobacterium sp. R9.49
Lineage: Bacteria; Bacillati; Actinomycetota; Actinomycetes; Micrococcales; Microbacteriaceae
Description: bacterial SSU rRNA
Rfam family: Bacterial small subunit ribosomal RNA
Source: RNAcentral